GGGAACAUUGCCUGUGGAUGUCAUUACUUCAGUGCCUGUACCAUUUGCAUGCACAAAGUCUUUGGAGUUUCCAUGUUGCACAGAUUCUCCCUGGCUACCUGGCUGAGAGGAAAUCGAGGAGCUCCGUGGAGGCCUGGUCUGGAGCCCUGGCAGAUGUGAUGGGGAUGUUCGAGCCCUUCCUGCUCCCUAUCGAUGUCACUUGAAGAUCUGAUUGCCAACAUCAUAAAAACAGUGCUAGGAAAAACCACAAAAUAUUGCACAAGACCCAGGAGGACUGAAAGUUGAAGGAUUUCUUUCAGAGGAUAUAUUGUUUUCACUGGUGAGUAGGUGGAGCCAUUCCAUUUUUCCUGAUUACAGUCUAGAACAGCUCAAGUUGCUGUGACUGGAAUUCUGUUUCUAUGGAUCAUCUUGCUGAAAGAAUUUGACAGCAGCAGAGUUUUUCCCCAGUGCCCUUGUUGUAAAUUGUAUGUGUUUCA
RNAcentral lists this long non-coding RNA (476 nucleotides) under Corvus moneduloides (New Caledonian crow). RNAcentral describes it as "lncRNA (ENSCMUG00000019181.1)". The record is from RNAcentral. Lineage: Eukaryota; Metazoa; Chordata; Aves; Passeriformes; Corvidae.